Long non-coding RNA from Glycine soja, 755 nucleotides. RefSeq lists it as uncharacterized. The transcript has 3 exons. The record is from RefSeq and is a predicted model, not a curated record. NCBI's taxonomy places the organism in Eukaryota, Viridiplantae, Streptophyta, Magnoliopsida, Fabales, Fabaceae.
GCGUUGCCCAAACACACAAAACAAAAAUGGUGACACGCUGCACAAACCCAGACAUAGUUACAGUUGAAGUAACACAUGAUAGAGGGUUUCAAUUCCAAAUACAUGGAAUUAAAAUGGGUAAGGUGAAGAACAAGCAAAAGCUCUCAGCUCGAGAAGAUGAAGAAGCUAUCAUCAAAACCACCUUUCCCAAUUUACAUUUCUACCGACCCACGCCAUGUGGACCUGCACCGUCUCCAAGACCUCUUCGUUGAUUGCAACCACUCUACCCACCGAUUCCCUACCUGACCCGAACCCGUGGAUAUCCACAAGCUCCGCAUUGCACUGUCUCACAGUUCCGUUCUUGUCUCCGUCUUCUGCAACCCCCAACAUGUAAACGCCCUUUUCCAUCAGAAUUCAUCAUCGUCUUCAAUCGCGGAUAUCUUCAUGCCGGUUUCUCCUUCACGGGAUCAAUUGGUCAGGUUUGGCCGUGUCCUUUUCGAGUAUGGCCUCACCGCUUCUAUUUACGAUGUCAUGGUAAUGAAAAAAAAGAAAGAAAGAAAAUGAAUAAACGCUCGUUCUUAGUUAGUGUAUUGGUUAACGUGUGUGUAUCAAAUUGGUUCAGUGUCUUGCAGGUUAUUCCUUCCCUGCAAAGAAUGGGAAUUGGUCAAAUGAUAGUUAAAAAAAUUGUUAGAAUGCUUACAAAUAGAGACAUCUAUGACAUAGCAGCCCUUUGUUCGGGGAAUGAAAGGUUAUUUUUUGAGGCGUGUGGAUUUGGG